RNAcentral lists this long non-coding RNA (1470 nucleotides) under Zostera marina. RNAcentral describes it as "long non-coding RNA (ZMAR_LNC005473)". The record is from RNAcentral. Lineage: Eukaryota; Viridiplantae; Streptophyta; Magnoliopsida; Alismatales; Zosteraceae.
UCAACUAUCUGAGGUUAUAUUCAUUGCUUUAAAUCCUUAUUCAUAUAUUUGUUCAAGCAUUUACUUAUCAUAUAUGUCCAGUUAUCUGGUCAUUUACUUACUUAUCAAUAUAUCCAGUUAUCUGGUCAUUUACUUGCUUAUCAAUAUAUCCAGUUAUCUGGUCAUUUACUCUACAAUACAAUUUGUGUUUACAAUAUAACUUAGUACUCAUAUACUAUAGUUGUUUGUAAAACACUAUCAAGCAAGUUGACUCAGUAUUCAUAUACUGUGGUAAGCUUCGAAGAGUAAUAAUUACGUUAUUAUAUCAAUCAAAGUUAUACCAUCUCUAUAUUAUUAUUGUUCAACCAUUUGUUUAUUAAGUGUUUACAGGUAAUUCCGCAAUCAACCUGUAUAAAUCGAAAAGAAGCUACUAUCCCCCCUUAUAGCCUCGGAUCACGAUCCAACAGCAACGACACUCCCAAUCUCCUCCUCCAGCUGAGCCUUUAAGUUAUCAAUCUCAACUUUAGAAUUAACCUCAGUUGCAGUCUUGGCCUCAAGCUCUUUGUGGCUAGCCUCAAGCUCUUUACGGAGCUUCACUAUUUUUCGAUCUUUUUCGGAAAUCUCCUUAUCCUUCAAGCUUGCCCUUUUUUCAUUUUUGGCAUAAUGUUGUUGUGGAGAUUAUCCAAUUCUAGGCCCCUUUGUCGUAAUGGUUGCACCUCAAGCCUCAGAGGUCUGUACUUGUCUAGGAGCUUGUUAUACUUCUCUUGCGCUUGAAGAGCAUCAUUCUGAGUCUGCAUUCCGAGGCAAGCAUUUGCGACAUAGACACCCUGCAAAAACAAAUAAACAUUAGAAUAAUAUUAAAUAAAAAAAACGCGAGAAUAGGAAUUCCGCCUGCUAAGAGUGCUAUCCGCGACUUUUGGCAAAAAAAUCCCAAAGUUUAAAAUCUCCGAUUUCACCUAGGAAAUCGCCGAUUUGUGCUUAGUUUUUUGUGCGAGGUCGGUCAAGUCUUCGCUACGCUUUCGGAAAACUUGCUUGUGCUUUUCUAUGGCUCCCAAGAAUUCACGAGCUUCAUCCUCCGCUACCGCUCAAGAGCAAGCGAUGGGAAGUAAGAAAACUGGGGAAAACUUGCCGCCAGUAUCUGAAGAGGAUCGUACUCACCCUAGUGAGUCUCCUCAAGUCAACAUACCCUCUCAACAAAAUGAGGGGGACAUUGUACCAACUCCUCCCAAUGAACCUCAACCUCCCCCACCUUAGAGGAAAGGAUGAAUACUUUCAUGGAAGAAAUGGGGAAAAGGAUGAGCAACCUCGAGGCCGCGAGGAGUCGAAGGACUACCACCCGAGAUGUGACGGGUGAUUCUGAGUCACACUAAUCCCCAUCUGUGGAGAAAACCAAGUUUAGUUCACAUCACAGGUCAGAAUCGAGACCUACCAAGAGUCGCACACAUGCGACCUUGUCAACUCGAUUCGUGGAUGAACUUCGUCGAAAGCUGG